UACGAAGGGGGCUAGCGUUGCUCGGAAUCACUGGGCGUAAAGCGCACGUAGGCGGAUUGCUAAGUCAGGGGUGAAAUCCUGGAGCUCAACUCCAGAACUGCCUUUGAUACUGGCGAUCUUGAGUCCGGGAGAGGUGAGUGGAACUGCGAGUGUAGAGGUGAAAUUCGUAGAUAUUCGGAGGAACACCAGUGGCGAAGGCGGCUCACUGGCUCGGUACUGACGCUGAGGUGCGAAAGCGUGGGGAGCAAACAGG
Molecule: ribosomal RNA, 253 nt
Filed under: uncultured bacterium
Lineage: Bacteria
Description: partial 16S ribosomal RNA
Rfam family: Bacterial small subunit ribosomal RNA
Source: RNAcentral